GGAGGGGCCUGUGUGGAAGCAGGGGGCCUCUGCGGCUGUCCCUGCCAGAGGCGCCUGGUCUAGGAAGGCAGGCAGAGCGGGAGCGAGGUAAGCAGCGUGGGGUAAACAGCGUGGGCUGCGGCUCAUUGUGCAGCGGGGGGAGGAAGAGUCCGGACGUGUUCCCUUGGAGGUGCCUGCGAGAGCACAUACAGAUCGGCCUGGAUGGGAGCCGGAGGGCUUGGAGAGAAAGGACACGGGUCUGGAGUGGCCCUGGGGCCCCUACACUCAGAGUUGGAGACCAACAGGCCAGUCCAGGGACCCCGUGGACCAACUGAACUAACUUCAUGUUCUUUGGCCACCUGCACCGCUCCACCCGUGGGCGCCGCCGGCUGCCCCUCAGGUCUUGUGGUCUGUUAUGCUAACAUGCUCGCCUGGCUCCUGACGGCAGGCAGGUGCUGCCACCUGGCCCCGUCAGGGUGCGCUCCCGUCUCUCCACUGCUGCGAGGGAGCCCCUUCUGCAGCAGCGUCGCCUGCCUGCCGUCAUCCUGUGUGGACAGGCUUACAUGUAUGCCAGCACCCCAGCAGGGCCUCCACCCGCCACCCGCCACCGUGCUGGCCCAGGGCCAGGGCCACCGAGAGCCGGCUCCAAAAUCCUGUCUGCUGUCUGCCUCCCGGGACUGCUCCGGCCCCAGCCGUCUCAGGACCACACGACAGCAUCCUGACCAGCCCGUAUUGUUGGGCGCUCCAGUCGCUGCAGUGCUGGAAAGUCUCGUCACCUCUUCAGAGCAGGGCCACACCACACCUCCAUGGGGCGGCAGUCCUGGGGAGACGGAGCUCCGUGAGCCUGUGAGCCCCAGAGCCCCGACAGCUGACGGCUCGCAUGGCGAGGAUGCUGAGCAGAGGACAGUGCUCCCAGGCCUAGAUGACAUCACGGACCCCAGGGACCCGCCUGUCAGUGGAGGAGGAACAUGCAGGUUGUCCAGCCCCCUGGAGCCUGGCCUGGGUUCCUGCUGCCCUGCUGUCUCUCUAGAACAGUUCAGGGGGGUCCUUUCCAUCCUAACAGCGUUCUGACAUCUGCAGAAUCUGGGAGGCAUCAAGGGCCUGGCCGGCUGCUAACAUAUCAGGUUCCCACAACAGUUUGACUAGGUAUCUAUCAUACUUCCGAUUUCAUGGAUGAGGGAACCAAAGUCCAGAGAGGCUGAGGAACUUCAAGGCUCCAUAGCUACUCACGGAUGGAGAUGAGACUUAAACAGAGCUCAUCAUUAUUGACCAGGACGCUGCACGGUGAGGUUCUGGAGAUCCUGAACAUGUCCGCCUCACCUUUCAUCUACUUAGGCAUCUUUGAACUUCGAUAUCACAGUCCUGACCUGUGACCAGCCGGCUGAGUGUGGGCCCUGGCCUGGGCCAGGGUUUGGAGCUGGGCUCCGCCUCUCACCAGCUGUGGGCUCUCGUGCACAUUACUUAACCUUUCUGUGCCUCCGUUUCCUCCAUCGGCGGUUUGGGGAUGUUUGGGAUUACGUGAGUUAAUACCCGUAAAGUGCU
Molecule: long non-coding RNA, 1521 nt
Filed under: Equus caballus (horse)
Lineage: Eukaryota; Metazoa; Chordata; Mammalia; Perissodactyla; Equidae
Description: lncRNA (ENSECAG00000054249.1)
Source: RNAcentral